CCUACGGGAGGCAGCAGUGAGGAAUAUUGGUCAAUGGACGAGAGUCUGAACCAGCCAAGUAGCGUGAAGGAUGACUGCCCUAUGGGUUGUAAACUUCUUUUAUAUGGGAAUAAAACGUUCCACGUGUGGGAUUUUGUAUGUACCAUAUGAAUAAGGAUCGGCUAACUCCGUGCCAGCAGCCGCGGUAAUACGGAGGAUCCGAGCGUUAUCCGGAUUUAUUGGGUUUAAAGGGAGCGUAGGUGGAUUGUUAAGUCAGUUGUGAAAGUUUGCGGCUCAACCGUAAAAUUGCAGUUGAAACUGGCAGUCUUGAGUACAGUAGAGGUGGGCGGAAUUCGUGGUGUAGCGGUGAAAUGCUUAGACAUCACGAAGAACUCCGAUUGCGAAGGCAGUUCACUGGACUGCAACUGACACUGAGGCUCGAAAGUGUGGGUAUCAAACAGGAUUAGAUACCCCUGUAGUC
Molecule: ribosomal RNA, 460 nt
Filed under: uncultured bacterium
Lineage: Bacteria
Description: partial 16S ribosomal RNA
Rfam family: Bacterial small subunit ribosomal RNA
Source: RNAcentral